RNAcentral lists this ribosomal RNA (472 nucleotides) under uncultured Desulfobulbus sp. RNAcentral describes it as "bacterial SSU rRNA". It matches the Rfam family "Bacterial small subunit ribosomal RNA", at positions 917 to 1381 of the family's 1533-position model. Lineage: Bacteria; Pseudomonadati; Thermodesulfobacteriota; Desulfobulbia; Desulfobulbales; Desulfobulbaceae. The record is from RNAcentral.
GACGGGGCCGCACAAGCGGUGAGUAUGUGGUUUAAUUCGAUGCAACGCGAAGAACCUUACCUGGUCUUGACAUCCCGGAGACCCUUAGGAAACUAGGGGUGCUUCCAUCUGGAAGAAUCUGGAGACAGGUGCUGCAUGGCUGUCGUCAGCUCGUGUCGUGAGAUGUUGGGUUAAGUCCCGCAACGAGCGCAACCCUUGCCUUUAGUUGCCAGCAGUUCGGCUGGGCACUCUAAAGGGACUGCCGGUGUUAAACCGGAGGAAGGUGGGGAUGACGUCAAGUCCUCAUGGCCUUUAUGACCAGGGCUACACACGUACUACAAUGGCCGAUACAAAGGGCAGCGACACUGCGAGGUGAAGCCAAUCCCGUAAAAUCGGUCUCAGUCCGGAUUGGAGUCUGCAACUCGACUCCAUGAAGUUGGAAUCGCUAGUAAUCGUGGAUCAGCAUGCCACGGUGAAUACGUUCCCGGGCCUU